UAAACGGCGGCCGUAACUAUAACGGUCCUAAGGUAGCGAAAUUCCUUGUCGGGUAAGUUCCGACCUGCACGAAUGGCAUAAUGAUGGCGGCGCUGUCUCCAGCAGAGGCUCAGUGAAAUCGAAAUCGCUGUGAAGAUGCAGUGUACCCGCGGCUAGACGGAAAGACCCCGUGAACCUUUACUGCAGCUUGACACUGAACUUUGACCUUACUUGUGUAGGAUAGGUGGGAGGCUUUGAAGUUGGAACGCUAGUUCCAAUGGAGCCGUCCUUGAAAUACCACCCUGGUAAUGUUGAGGUUCUAACUCUGUCCCGUUAUCCGGGACGAGGACCGUGUCUGGUGGGUAGUUUGACUGGGGCGGUCUCCUCCUAAAGAGUAACGGAGGAGUACGAAGGUGCGCUCAGCGUGGUCGGAAAUCACGCGUAGAGUAUAAAGGCAAAAGCGCGCUUAACUGCGAGACCCACAAGUCGAGCAGGUACGAAAGUAGGUCUUAGUGAUCCGGUGGUUCUGUAUGGAAGGGCCAUCGCUCAACGGAUAAAAGGUACUCUGGGGAUAACAGGCUGAUACCGCCCAAGAGUUCAUAUCGACGGCGGUGUUUGGCACCUCGAUGUCGGCUCAUCACAUCCUGGGGCUGAAGUAGGUCCCAAGGGUAUGGCUGUUCGCCAUUUAAAGUGGUACGCGAGCUGGGUUUAGAACGUCGUGAGACAGUUCGGUCCCUAUCUACCGUGGGCGCUGGAAAUUUGAGAGGAUCUGCUCCUAGUACGAGAGGACCAGAGUGGACGAACCUCUGGUGUACCGGUUGUGACGCCAGUCGCAUCGCCGGGUAGCUAUGUUCGGAAGGGAUAACCGCUGAAAGCAUCUAAGCGGGAAGCCUACCUCAAGAUAAGAUUUCCCUAGGACUUUAUGUCCUCUAAAGAGCCGUUCGAGACUAGGACGUUGAUAGGUUGGAUGUGGAAGCAUAGUGAUAUGUGAAGCUGACCAAUACUAAUUGCUCGUGAGGCUUGACUAU
RNAcentral lists this ribosomal RNA (1007 nucleotides) under food metagenome. RNAcentral describes it as "bacterial LSU rRNA". It matches the Rfam family "Bacterial large subunit ribosomal RNA", at positions 1924 to 2925 of the family's 2925-position model. The record is from RNAcentral.